Molecule: ribosomal RNA, 237 nt
Filed under: uncultured Pediococcus sp.
Lineage: Bacteria; Bacillati; Bacillota; Bacilli; Lactobacillales; Lactobacillaceae
Description: partial 16S ribosomal RNA
Rfam family: Bacterial small subunit ribosomal RNA
Source: RNAcentral
GAUUCGCCCGCCGCGCGCGGCGGGCGGGGCGGGGGCACGGGGGGACUCCUACGGGAGGCAGCAGUAGGGAAUCUUCCACAAUGGACGCAAGUCUGAUGGAGCGACUCCGCGUGAGUGAAGAAGGGUUUCGGCUCGUAAAGCUCUGUUGUUAAAGAAGAACGUGGGUAAGAGUAACUGUUUGUCCCUUGACGGUAUCUAACCAGAAAGCCACGGCUAACUACGUGCCAGCAGCCGAAU